UGUCUACUUGGAGGUUGUGGCCUUGAGCCGUGGCUUUCGGAGCUAACGCGUUAAGUAGACCGCCUGGGGAGUACGGUCGCAAGAUUAAAACUCAAAUGAAUUGACGGGGGCCCGCACAAGCGGUGGAGCAUGUGGUUUAAUUCGAUGCAACGCGAAGAACCUUACCUACUCUUGACAUCCAGAGAACUUUCCAGAGAUGGAUUGGUGCCUUCGGGAACUCUGAGACAGGUGCUGCAUGGCUGUCGUCAGCUCGUGUUGUGAAAUGUUGGGUUAAGUCCCGCAACGAGCGCAACCCUUAUCCUUGUUUGCCAGCGAGUAAUGUCGGGAACUCCAGGGAGACUGCCGGUGAUAAACCGGAGGAAGGUGGGGACGACGUCAAGUCAUCAUGGCCCUUACGAGUAGGGCUACACACGUGCUACAAUGGCGCAUACAGAGGGCAGCAAGCUAGCGAUAGUGAGCGAAUCCCAAAAAGUGCGUCGUAGUCCGGAUUGGAGUCUGCAACUCGACUCCAUGAAGUCGGAAUCGCUAGUAAUCGUGGAUCAGAAUGCCACGGUGAAUACGUUCCCGGGCCUUGUACACACCGCCCGUCACACCAUGGGAGUGGGCUGCAAA
Molecule: ribosomal RNA, 612 nt
Filed under: Vibrio sp. G1.7
Lineage: Bacteria; Pseudomonadati; Pseudomonadota; Gammaproteobacteria; Vibrionales; Vibrionaceae
Description: bacterial SSU rRNA
Rfam family: Bacterial small subunit ribosomal RNA
Source: RNAcentral